RNAcentral lists this ribosomal RNA (482 nucleotides) under uncultured bacterium. RNAcentral describes it as "bacterial SSU rRNA". It matches the Rfam family "Bacterial small subunit ribosomal RNA", at positions 29 to 522 of the family's 1533-position model. The record is from RNAcentral.
GUGAACGCUGGCGGCGUGCUUAACACAUGCAAGUCGAACGAGAACGGAUUAUAGCUUGCUAUAAUUGUCAGCUAAGUGGCGCACGGGUGAGUAAUGUAUAGGUAAUAUGCCUCUUACUAAGGGAUAACAAAUGGAAACGUUUGCUAAUACCUUAUACUCCUUAUUAACAGAAGUUAAUAAGGGAAAGAUUUAUUGGUAAGAGAUUAGCCUGUAUUGUAUCAGUUAGUUGGUGGGGUAAUGGCUUACCAAGACUAUGACACAUAACUGGUUUGAGAGGAUGAUCAGUCACACUGGAACUGAGACACGGUCCAGACUCCUACGGGAGGCAGCAGUGGGGAAUAUUGCACAAUGGACGAAAGUCUGAUGCAGCAACGCCGCGUGGAGGAUGACACAUUUCGGUGCGUAAACUCCUUUUAUAUGAGAAGAUAAUGACGGUAUUAUAUGAAUAAGCACCGGCUAACUCCGUGCCAGCAGCCGCGGUA